Molecule: ribosomal RNA, 1371 nt
Filed under: Triticum aestivum (bread wheat)
Lineage: Eukaryota; Viridiplantae; Streptophyta; Magnoliopsida; Poales; Poaceae
Description: partial small subunit ribosomal RNA
Source: RNAcentral
AUGCACUACGACAUGCUGCUCCGGCGCAUGGAGGACGGCAUGAGCAACCAGGUCCCAGCGGGCGGCGGCGACGACAGGGACGCCUUCACCAUCGUCCGCCUGCCGCACCACGUCCGGGAGAUGAACAGAAGCCUCUACGAGCCGGUCAUGGUCUCGGUCGGGCCCUACCACAUGUCCAGCGCCAGCACCCGCGCCAUGCAGGCCCGCAAGUGGCUCACGCUCAGGGACUUCCUCCUCCGCGGGGACCCGGACGGCAGGGCCGGCCUCCUCGCCGACUGCAUCAAGGCGGCGCGCAGGAUGGAGCAGCGGGCGCGCCGCUGCUACGGCGAGGCGCUGGACCAGGCCGCCGGCGGCGGGAGCGACGACUUCGUGGGGAUGCUGGUGCUCGACGGCUGCUUCGUGCUCCAGUUCCUGCUCCAGUGGAGCGAGAGCGACGCCCGGUGCAUGCAGGGCACCUCCACCUACGUCUACUACGACCUGCUCCUCGUCGAGAACCAGAUGCCCUACUUCGUCCUCGCCAAGCUCUUCAACCUCGUCAUGGGGAAUGGCAACGCAGGGGACGAUGCGGACCAGGGGCUUCUUCACCUCAUAUCCAACUUCUUCAGCCUGCGCGAGCCUCUGGGCAUGGUCCCGCUCCCGCCGCCGGCGCCGGAGCUGGCGGGCCAGUUCGCCGAAGUCUACCACCUGCUCCACCUCCAGUACCAGAGGAUCGUCAUGAGCCCGGAGCGGCGCAGGAUUCGCCGGCUCACGAGGCUGGGCGAGAGCCUCAGCUCGUUCAGGCGCACACGGGCUAACCAGGCCAGGACGCCGCUGGCGAUGCCGUGCGUGACCGUGCUCCAGGAGUUCGGCGUCACGUUCAAGGAGAAGCCCUCGCCGGCGAGCCAGUUCGACGUGACCUUCCGCGGCGGCACCAUGGAGAUCCCGCGCCUGGUCAUCAACGGCGGCACUAAAAUCCUCCUGGCCAACCUGUUCGCGCUGGAGCAGACCAAGGACUGCUGGAACGAGGGGACCAUGACGGGGUACCUCGUGCUGAUGAACGCGCUGGUGAACACGGGCGCGGACGUGGCCGUGCUCCAGCGCCACGGCAUCCUGGACAACAUGCUCUCCAACGAGGAAGAGGCGGCCGCCUUCUUCAACCAGCUCGGCGGCAGCGCGCUCUUCGACCCCAGGACGCACCGCUACGCGCGGCUGUUCAAGGACACCAACGAUUUCUGCGACUCUCGCUGGAACCGGUACAUGGCCGUGCUCAAGCGCGACCACCUACGGACCCCGUGCUCCAUCAUCAACCUCCUCGUGGCGGCCAUCCUGCUCUUCGUCUCGGUCAUUUCUGCUGGCUAUGUGAUUUGCCGCUACCGCCAUUCCUGCACCUGA